Molecule: ribosomal RNA, 825 nt
Filed under: Klebsiella pneumoniae
Lineage: Bacteria; Pseudomonadati; Pseudomonadota; Gammaproteobacteria; Enterobacterales; Enterobacteriaceae
Description: partial 23S ribosomal RNA
Rfam family: Bacterial large subunit ribosomal RNA
Source: RNAcentral
GGCGUAAUGAUGGCCAGGCUGUCUCCACCCGAGACUCAGUGAAAUUGAACUCGCUGUGAAGAUGCAGUGUACCCGCGGCAAGACGGAAAGACCCCGUGAACCUUUACUAUAGCUUGACACUGAACAUUGAGCCUUGAUGUGUAGGAUAGGUGGGAGGCUUUGAAGCGUGGACGCCAGUCUGCGUGGAGCCAACCUUGAAAUACCACCCUUUAAUGUUUGAUGUUCUAACGUUGGCCCCUGACCGGGGUUGCGGACAGUGUCUGGUGGGUAGUUUGACUGGGGCGGUCUCCUCCCAAAGCGUAACGGAGGAGCACGAAGGUUAGCUAAUCCUGGUCGGACAUCAGGAGGUUAGUGCAAUGGCAUAAGCUAGCUUGACUGCGAGCGUGACGGCGCGAGCAGGUGCGAAAGCAGGUCAUAGUGAUCCGGUGGUUCUGAAUGGAAGGGCCAUCGCUCAACGGAUAAAAGGUACUCCGGGGAUAACAGGCUGAUACCGCCCAAGAGUUCAUAUCGACGGCGGUGUUUGGCACCUCGAUGUCGGCUCAUCACAUCCUGGGGCUGAAGUAGGUCCCAAGGGUAUGGCUGUUCGCCAUUUAAAGUGGUACGCGAGCUGGGUUUAGAACGUCGUGAGACAGUUCGGUCCCUAUCUGCCGUGGGCGCUGGAGAAUUGAGGGGGGCUGCUCCUAGUACGAGAGGACCGGAGUGGACGCAUCACUGGUGUUCGGGUUGUCAUGCCAAUGGCACUGCCCGGUAGCUAAAUGCGGAAGAGAUAAGUGCUGAAAGCAUCUAAGCACGAAACUUGCCCCGAGAUGAGUUCUCCCUGAGACU